CCAGUAUUGAGGUCAAUACUUAGGAAAAUGGGAAAACAUAGUUCAUCAUGUGCAGUUUGUGUCUCAUGUGCGUCGUCAGCUGUUAUCAGAUGCUUCAAAGAGUCGGGCUUCUCUACGAAAGUGUCUUGAAAAGGAGAGAAAGCAACUUCAGCAUUGUGUUAGUCUGCUGUCAUGUUUCUGUGGACGAAGUCACGCAAGAGGACUAUUUGUUGCCUUGGCAUAAUCCUGCAGGGAACAAGGGAGAAACAUUUGCUUUGAAGAAGAAAAUAGUUGAUAUACAUGAACACAUGACCAGGUACAUCGAGGAAUUGCCUGUG
Molecule: long non-coding RNA, 317 nt
Organism: Lineus longissimus
Lineage: Eukaryota; Metazoa; Nemertea; Pilidiophora; Heteronemertea; Lineidae
Exons: 3
Source: RefSeq, a predicted model, not a curated record